AGAUUGAACGCUGGCGGCAUGCCUAACACAUGCAAGUCGAACGGGAGUAGCAAUACUCUAGUGGCGGACGGGUGAGGAAUACGUAGGAAUUUGCCCUUAAGUGGGGGAUAACCCGGGGAAACCCGGAUUAAUACCGCAUGACCUCGAAAGAGCAAAGUGGGGGAUCGCAAGACCUCACGCUUUUGGAGAAGCCUACGUCGGAUUAGCUAGUUGGUGAGGUAAUGGCUCACCAAGGCGACGAUCCGUAACUGGUCUGAGAGGAUGAUCAGUCACACCGGAACUGAGACACGGUCCGGACUCCGUACGGGAGGCAGCAGGUAGGGGAAUAGUUAGGACAAUGGGACGCAAGCCUGAC
Molecule: ribosomal RNA, 355 nt
Filed under: uncultured soil bacterium
Lineage: Bacteria
Description: bacterial SSU rRNA
Rfam family: Bacterial small subunit ribosomal RNA
Source: RNAcentral